UUCCAUGUCCUCUUUUUAAGUUUCUCCUCAUAAUUGUCCCUAGUGAAUUUUGAACCUUGUUCAAAAGUGCCACAUUCAAAAUGUCCUCGAUGCAGUCUUGUCCUUGAACUUUACCUCGACUUUGUUUGCAUCUCUCAUUUCUUUGAGUUUUUUCAUUCUCCUUUAGUUGCAUCUUGAAUAUAUUUUCGUUGGUUCCUUUAUUCUUCUUCUUAUACACCCCUCUCCUUGCUACAUACAUUUAUUACCAUGUCUUACCAAUC
Molecule: long non-coding RNA, 260 nt
Filed under: Lathyrus oleraceus (garden pea)
Lineage: Eukaryota; Viridiplantae; Streptophyta; Magnoliopsida; Fabales; Fabaceae
Description: Pisum sativum (pea) long non-coding RNA (PSAT_LNC036063)
Source: RNAcentral